Long non-coding RNA from Mauremys reevesii (Reeves's turtle), 740 nucleotides. RefSeq lists it as uncharacterized. The transcript has 4 exons. The record is from RefSeq and is a predicted model, not a curated record. Lineage: Eukaryota; Metazoa; Chordata; Testudines; Geoemydidae.
UGCAGGGAAGUGUUUCUGGAUGGGUUCAGGAAGCAGUGAUGGCUCGCAAAGCUAAGAUCUUGUUGUCAUAUCUGUGCCAUAAAAAACAUGGCAUGACUCAACAAGUAUUAAAAAGCUGAUCUUUGCCUGGAAACAUGGAAGACUUGGGUCCAUUCUACUGAAUUCUUUUCAACAUGCAUAUUUAAAUGACGCUAGUGUGGAGUAAAUACAUUUCAAGAUAAAUUCUUCAGAGAGGUUCCUUUGGAGCUCUGGCUUGAUUGGAACUGUGUGGGUGAAAGGAACCAGGAAGUGAUCCUGCCAUCUCCUCGGACAUUGGAAUUGACAGUGCCAGAAAUGUGUACCUGGAGAGAAACAAGUCGUUUUGGCAGCAGGCUUGCAGAUUUUCAGGUUCCUUCUAAAAGACCUUAAAAUGAUCACACUCAGCCUGCAAUACAAUAUCCAUCUUGGGUGGUAUUUUUAAAGGUGCCGAAUGAAGUUAGAUAUCUGAAUCCCAGUUGGGUGCAUAACCUCCAUAGGAAAUACUUCUAGCCAUUCUAGUUUUCUCAGUGCACCAGGAGACUAUUGGGAGAAUUAGCCCAGGGGUAUAUGGAUGUUUUCAUAGUUCUGGUAACACUCAGUGAUGGCUGCGUUAUGAACAGAGAAAAACCAAGACAUUCUGUCUUCAACCUAGUAGGAGCUUGGGGUCAGGGACUGUUUUGGAACAUGAUAAGCACAUUGUUGGUAUAUAACAGAAAAUAAUU